RNAcentral lists this non-coding RNA (30 nucleotides) under Rattus norvegicus (Norway rat). The record is from RNAcentral. Lineage: Eukaryota; Metazoa; Chordata; Mammalia; Rodentia; Muridae.
UAUUAGUUUAUUUACUUUUCUCCUUGGCCU